Molecule: long non-coding RNA, 3961 nt
Organism: Lagopus muta (rock ptarmigan)
Lineage: Eukaryota; Metazoa; Chordata; Aves; Galliformes; Phasianidae
Exons: 3
Source: RefSeq, a predicted model, not a curated record
CCGUGUACUGCCAGUGACUGCUCAAAUAAUCAAUGUUACUUCUGUUACUUGAAAUAUUUUCACUGGGUGAUUAUACUAAAAAACCCUAUUAUUAAAAUAGAGUUUUUAAAUAAGGGAAAAAUCACUUCCCGAGGAGCCUUCCUUUAAUCCUUUAAUAUCAUUAUUUGAAUCUAGUAACACAGACUGCUUGGUGGAACUAGUCCUCAAGCGGUCACCUAGUCCACUUCCUGUUUCGACACAGGAUCACUUAUAGUCAACCAGUUCCUGACAGUAACUUGUUCUAACUUGCAUUCUUAAAAAACUAUGAUGGUACAUAACCACCAUCUCCUUACACAUACUGCUGUCUUUACAGCUCAGAACUCCAAACAUCUAUCCUAGAUCUUGUGGAAAUUUAAUUUGCUCUCCAUAACCACCUGACAAGACUAGCAGUAACUGUCAUAUUUUCUUGGCAGAACCUUCUUCUAAAUCCAAAUAUUAUUCUUUCUUUCCUCUAAUCUGUAUUCUUUCCAGUUAGCCUGUAUCACUUUGCAGUGUAGCACUUAGAAGUGGAUAAGGUACUCCAGCUGGCCUUUACUAGUGCUGUACUGAAUGGAAUGACUUUAUAUACCAUGUCUCCAAUGCUUUAAUAUAUCCCCCUACUAUGACUGCUUUUCUAUUUAUUUCUGUUCUCUGGCCUUGUAUUGUACAUCCUUGGAAGGCAUACAAUGCUCAGACCUGCUACACCUUUUCUGAAGAAGUACUCCUUACCCAGUCUUUUUGCCCACGGAUUGUGAAAGCUCACUAUGCCUAGACAAAGGGCUGUUCCUUGCAAUUCUCAUUAUUAAAUUACAUGCAGUAGCACAUAAUUUAAGGUCACUUUGAAUUCAAAUACGCUAGUUCUGUCCUCCAGUAUGCCUAUAAUCUUUUUUUGUUAACUUGCAAUGUAAUAUUUAUAUGCACUAGUCCUGUACCCAGGUCAAUAAUGACCACAUAGAACAUCCCAGGUUGGAAGGGACCCAUAAGGAUCAUUGAGUCCAACUACUGGCUCCACACAGGUCUCACAAAUUUCAUUUGGCCAAACACUAAGUUGAACUCACAAUUCAUUAAAGCACUGUAUAUUAUAUAUUCAACUUUAACCAUUGCAAUAGUCUAACAUUGAAGAUCAUAGAAUCAUUAAGGUUGGAAAAGACCACUAAGAUCGCCUAGUCCAAUCUUCAAUCCAUCGCCACCAUGCCCGCUAAACCAUGUCCCUCAGUGCCACAUCUACACAUUUUUUGGACAUCUCCAUCAAUAAAUAAUUAAAAAUAAUAAUAAUAAUCACGAUUUACUGCAGGAUGGUCUUCCACAGACCCUCCCUAAAAAUUCUCCCAGCCUGAAAGUGAGCUACUGCUAUCUCAGAUCUCAGCGGCAUUUCAUCAAGGCAAUCUCUCCCCUUUCCUGUUUCUGAAAGUGAUGCUUACAUCAGUCAAGUAAAUCUUCAUCUGAGUUCCUAAAAGAUCCUGUUUUACAGUAAGCGCUAUAAAAUUAACAAGUGUUCCAACCACUGCUCUGAACUUGAUAAUACUACAGGGCAUUCUAUGCAGGAGUACACCAUAGAAAAUUAAUCCAAAUUAACACAAGCAGGUUAGGACAUGUUUAUCACUUGUGGUUACUGGCUCAAAGCUGCACCAAUUUAAAGUCACAGCAUAGUUCUUGGCUAGUUUAAUGGAAUGGAUGCUCCUGUCCUAGGUGGCAGCUGAAUAUCCUUACUCCUGCCUACUUAGCCCUUAACUCAGAAACAAGCUCAAGGUGUUUUCCAAGAUGCCUAUACUAUUUGUUUCAGAAUGUUCCACAUACAUGCAAAUCCUAGUUACAUGAGGUGCAGGAAACCUCCACAGAUCAAUUUUACAUUAAACAGUCGACCCAUUUUAAAUAAAAGGUUUAAUAUCAUUUAGCUGAUUAUCUUCUAUUUUCACUUUGUUAAUUUGAGUUAAAAUUAGGUAUCCCAAGGCUAUAAAAGUAAAGAUCAAGUCAAAGAAGUGUAACUGACACACACAGACAAAUAGAUCUGAUAGAGAAAUGAUCAGUGUGCUUGGACUGGCACAUACUCUGCUCAUUACAAACUAAAUGACAGGCUAGCAGCGGUCAGCAAUGCACAGUGUGAAAACAUAUAUAUACAUAUAUAUGUUUAUGGCAUAUUUUAAUUAGUUUUAUGACAGAGUCUGAAAAGGGCUUUUUUCAGCUAUACAAAUGGAUAUUUGAAAAGCAGAUUUGUCUUUCAGUCUAAGGACAUAUUGUGGUUUUUACAAUUUUUAUGCUGCAGUGGAAAUGCUAAGUCAUGGCUUGAAGCAGUGAUUGAGCACCUGUUGGGAGGGCAGGGCCAACCCAGGGGAGGUCAGGUGCACUGAGUGACUGAAAGGGGUGAAGCCAGGAUCCACCCCUUCCCAGAGCUCAUUUAAGGGUUGGCACUGGAGGCAAGGGUAUCUUGCUGGAGAUCCCUAUGCUCUUGAGGCCUUCUGAAGAUCUUGCACCUGUGAAGAGGGAGAGCCAUCAACCUCGCAGACAGACAUAUCAGACGGCCAGAGGCAAUCCACAGCAUUGCUCUCAAGGGUGUUUAAAAAGUAGGUUUGCAGAUCUGCCUGGCUGCCUCUGACACUGGAAUCAUCUCUGCAUCAACUUUGCUCCUCUCAACACCUUCUGCUGCCUUUCCUCCCCCAGCUUUACGAGAGCUGUAUUUACAUGAUAAAAAGCAACAUAAUAACCUGAAAUAAUCUUUAGCUUAGAUUGAUAUUGUAACAACCACUCCGAAGAUGUUACAGUCCAGAAAAGCAACACUGAAAACUUCGUGUUAAUCUUACUAUUUAUCCAUGUCCAUAGGAGGUGUAACUUCAAAAGAUUCAAGGCAAUUUCCUCUAUAAAAUGUCAAAACAAAAAAAACCUCCACAAGAAAACCCACGCAAGCAAGACUGCUUUUCCAUAUGUACAGCAAGUGUUAAAGUAUGAACUAAUAGCGACUGCCCUGAAAGCCCUUGCACCAUUUCCAUUAAGUCCAACCACAGUACUGAACCACUGGAGAUGUAAAGAACUGGACUCGCAAUGAUUAACCAAAAUAAAGCUAAGUGGAGAAAACUCAGUUGUGAGCCUCUAUGUGAUGCACCUCAGGCAUUUAAAAAAAAAAAAAAAAAAAAAAAAGAGAAAAAGCCCAAAAUCUAGCAAUAAAUUACAAAGUCCACAGUGUUCCCAGAACUUUUCCUUCUGCAGCCAACUCCUCUUCCAAAGGGUUUCUUUAACAAACUCAAAAGUCAUCAGUCACCCUGUCACAUUCUGCAGUAAUUCUAAGACAUUGCAAAAUGUAUUUACUGAGUUUAAGUACAGUGCAAAAUUACUAAAAACAUUCCUGAAAGUUUGAGCUACUGUAUUUGGGCUGGAUAAGGAAAACUGAAAGCUACUGUGGCUAUUGCACAGCUCCUCUUGCUAUAGUGUAUUUGUAAAUGUUUGUAAAGAAAGGGAACUCCAGGGAAAAGCCAGAAAGUUGUGUUUCAUCUCAGAAGGCAACUGGGAUUGAGGGAAUUAAAGUUUGCUUUAUUUCACACAGCUGAACUUACAGAAAAUAAUUAGUACAUGUCUCGAGAGCUGGACUGCCAGUAACCUUGUGUGUAAAUAAAAAUGCAGCAGAUAAAGCCUGACAAGGUUUCUUGAGAUUUUGAUACUUAGAGGCUACACCUGAAGAACCUUAUGGUUGGAAUCCACAGAUCCUGUGAGAGAAGAUUUGCCUGACUUUCUCCAGAAAGCACAGCAGGACAGAACUGUGACUUUAAGGUGCACGAGGCUCUACUGCAAUCAUAAGGCCUGCAAAAGCCAUGGGGCUUGUGUGACUUCUGUAAUUAAAGAGCACUGCUUGACAUCACCCUACAGCCUGCAUUGAAAUACACCAGGAAGAUCCACCCUACACGAACAAGGGACGUAAACCUGUCUCAGCAAACCAGACACCUGAAGCUGACAC